Molecule: transfer RNA, 88 nt
Filed under: Bacteroidales bacterium
Lineage: Bacteria; Pseudomonadati; Bacteroidota; Bacteroidia; Bacteroidales
Description: tRNA-Ser
Rfam family: tRNA
About the family: Transfer RNA (tRNA) molecules are approximately 80 nucleotides in length. Their secondary structure includes four short double-helical elements and three loops (D, anti-codon, and T loops). Further hydrogen bonds mediate the characteristic L-shaped molecular structure. tRNAs have two regions of fundamental functional importance: the anti-codon, which is responsible for specific mRNA codon recognition, and the 3' end, to which the tRNAs corresponding amino acid is attached (by aminoacyl-tRNA synthetases). tRNAs cope with the degeneracy of the genetic code in two manners: having more than one tRNA (with a specific anti-codon) for a particular amino acid; and 'wobble' base-pairing, i.e. permitting non-standard base-pairing at the 3rd anti-codon position.
Source: RNAcentral
GGAGAGAUGCUCGAGUGGCUGAAGAGGCACGCAUGGAAAGCGUGUGUACCCCAAAAGGGUAUCGCGAGUUCGAAUCUCGCUCUCUCCG